RNAcentral lists this ribosomal RNA (58 nucleotides) under Chlorella sp. USTB-01. Its description in RNAcentral is "partial 28S ribosomal RNA". The record is from RNAcentral. Lineage: Eukaryota; Viridiplantae; Chlorophyta; Trebouxiophyceae; Chlorellales; Chlorellaceae.
UCGACCUGAGCUCAGGCAAGACUACCCGCUGAACUUAAGCAUAUCAAUAGUCGGAGGA